This is a long non-coding RNA of Lolium rigidum, 485 nucleotides long. RefSeq lists it as uncharacterized. The record is from RefSeq and is a predicted model, not a curated record. NCBI's taxonomy places the organism in Eukaryota, Viridiplantae, Streptophyta, Magnoliopsida, Poales, Poaceae. The transcript has 2 exons.
GGCAGAUCCGCUGAAGGGCGCCUCCGACAUAGAAGGUAGCAAGGCGAGGUUUAUCCGGUGGAGGGUGCGAGGGACGGAGAGAUAUAUACGUGGCCGAGCUCGCCUUCAGACCUAGCGGCAUCUCAUCGGCCCUGCAGUUUGUGAUGAAUGAUGAUGGUGAGGUGUUGGUCUAUGCUAGUUGAGUUCUCGAAGCGGAGGCAAUGGAUCUCUAGAUUGCAUGAUGGUUUUACUUAUGUAUGAAUGGUUUACAACUUGUUGGCUUGGCAAAUAGCGCUGUGCUUCUAUGGUGUCACCAAUCCAGAAAAGGCCUCAGAUGUCUCUAGAUAAUGUACUACCAUUUACAUAGAAAUUAGAUUCUUGUGUGAUUUAGUUCCUGAAGUUCGAGUUAGCGGCUUCUAUUAGAAACAAGGGCAUGGAUGAUGUAUGUUGCAGGAACAGAUUGUAAACACAUUCGUGAUGUUCAUAAAUAAAGUUCUCCUUCGGAA